AUCUCUUAGUGUUUUAUUUUGAACAGUUUCCAUUGCUCUCUCAUCAGGUUUACUAUUCUUUUCUUCUGCCAUGUCAAACCUGAAGUUUAUCCCCUGUAGUUACUUUUUCAUUUCAGACAUUCUGGUUUUCAUCUUUAAAAAUUUUAUCUGUGUCUUUUUUGUAUUUCUGCUUUUCAGCUUUUUGAAUGUAUAGAAUGUAGUUAUAGUAGCUGUUUGAAAGACCUAGUCUGGUAAUUCUAACAUCUGUGUCAGUUAUGAGUUGGUUUUGAUUGAGUGUUCUUGUCAUUGUGAGUCAUAUUUUUCUUCCUUUUUCCAUACUUGAAGAUUUUUUAUUAGAUGUUGGGAAUUGUGAAUUUUAACUUUCUAGGUGUUGGAUAAUUUUGUAUCUCUGUAGAUAUUCUUAUAUUUUAUUUUUGGAUAUAUUUAUUUUUUAUUUUCCAUUAUAGUUUUUCACAGUGUUCUGUCAAUUUCGAGUGUACAGCAAAGUGACCCGGUAAUUCUCUACUGCUAAGGCAAAACUAUUCUUAGAACUCUCCCACGUCCAUGUGACUUACAGAGUUUUCCACUACAGCUGUUGGGAACAGGCACUUCCUGACUCUGUGUGAGCAACGGAUACCAGUCCACUAACCCUGUUGGUGACUCUUCUCCCAAUCCCAGUUACUUUCAUCACAUAUAUACUUGAUCAAUAUGCUGCUAAACUCAGGAAUUGACCCUGUACGGUUCUCUAGAGUUCUCUUUCUUUGUGACUCUUUCUUCUUUGAACUCCACCUAAAGAACUCCAGCAACCCUGGUAUCCCAAGACACUCAGCUCUAUCUCUUCAACUCAGGGAUUCUGCUGGACUACACAUAGUUUCCCCUCUCUGCUCCAUGACCAGGAGUCUUCCCCAGUGUUGUAAGCUUGGGCAGCCAGAGGCUUCACCUCACUCAUUUCUCACAUCCCAGGGAUUGCAUUCUUCAUUGUUAAUAUCCAAUGUCUUGGAAGUCAGUGCUUCAUAUAGCUUGUGUACUUUGUGCGUGUGUUGUAAGAAGAAAAAUCUAGUCUACAAAAUUCCAGUUUGGCCAGAAGUGGAAGCCUUAGCUUGGUAUUUAAUCCAGUUUGCUUCCAUUUUCCAGUAUCUGUGAGAAAGAGCAAGAGUUAUAAAUACAGACAGGGAACAUAAGAGGGUAGAGGCUAUACAGAAUUAAUAAAGUUGUAAGCCGUCAGUAUAUUUAUGAGGUUAACACAGAUGUGACCUCUUUUCAAAAGUCAACAUUAAAGGCAUUCCUUUUUCAUAUGAAAAAAUUAAAUGUGUAUUGCACAGUACAUGAAGGAGGAACUGAAACUCAGUUUGAGAAAUGACUGAAUUAGUCUCCAUUGCUUCUCAAAUAUCGUAAUUUUUAUCUGCAAGGAGUUUGGAGGCUUGUUGUUUGGAGAAUCUGCCUGUAAAGCUGUUACAUCUCAUUGACAAGCUGAGAAAUUUCUUCUUGGUUUGGUUUAAUUGUAUCUUCUCUUAUUUUGUACAUUGUCAUCAUUUUAAAAGACACUGAUCUGCUCCUGGAUGUAUUUAUCAGAAGGAUUCACUCUGGUAAUUUCCUAAAAGAGAAACAUAUCUAUCUGAUAGACUUUUCAAGUACAGUUACUCAAUUUGGAAUUCAGUGGAGUAGAUCCAAUAGCUCCCAUCAAUAGUAGGAAUCAUCUUUCAGAGCAGUGGCACUCUGUAUUUGACAUGCAACAGUUCUGUGUGCUGAAUUAAUUCCAGGGACUUGAAUACAUACUUCGUGAACAUGUAGAAACAUUUUUGGUUCUAAAAAUAAUCAUGGUAUCUUUCAUUUGCAUGUGGUGUUAUAAAUUUGAAAACGUAAGUCCACAUUCCUAAAGGCCAGGGAAACAAAAAAAAAAUAUAUAUAGAAAAAUUAAAUGCUGAACUGUAUGGAAAUUAUUAUAUGAACAGUAAGAAAUUAGGAGGAAAAUCUGUAUCAUCUAGAGUGGUUCAGGGAAACUAUGUGGGAGACCAAAAUUGCUUAGUAGAUAAAGGUGAGGAGAGACGUUCUUACAAAUGAUGAAAAACAGCAUGAGCAAAGGCAAGGGGUUGGAAAUAAGAGCAGAAUACAUGAAAGGAAGUGAGCUGUUAAAGAAUGCUUUUGGGAAGGGCUGGGAAAUAAAGUACUCUCAGAUGAUGAAUGGCCUGCAAAGCCAAACAGAAAAAUUUGUAACUAAAGCCAAAAAUAACAGGAAGCCACUGUAGAUUUUUGAGCAAAUGACAACUAUAAGUACAGCUUUAUGGAUAUGCUGGCAGUGACAUGCAAGGUGGAUGACAGAGAGGAUAAAGUGAGAAGGACCAGCUUGACUCUACUGGUGUCCUUCAAGUUAGGAGGACUAUGUCAAGGAUAUGAGAAAAAAAAUAUAAGAGACAAAAAGGAUCAGUUAAUAUUCUGAAGGAUGAAAUAAGGAGGCUUGAACUGUCCCACCUUUCACUGUUCUCUGUCUCCCCAGUGGGAGAUUUCAGAAGCAGGGAUGAGGAGUGAAAGACAGAGGUGUGUAUCUGCCCCAUUCUCUCAUGUCACCUUAUGUAGAUGCUCACUCAGCUUCUCAGUCUCCUUGGAUGCUGUCUCUAUGGUGAACUGACCUUCCCCAAGAAGGGAUAGAGCAUAGCGUGGUGCUUACAUGCAUGAAGAUUAGACCAUUGCUACUUUUUUCCCUUCUGAAAAUUGAAUGAACAUUUUAAAAGUCAAAAUUGAGAAACUAGAAACA
RNAcentral lists this long non-coding RNA (2731 nucleotides) under Sus scrofa (pig). RNAcentral describes it as "lncRNA (ENSSSCG00060058887.1)". Lineage: Eukaryota; Metazoa; Chordata; Mammalia; Artiodactyla; Suidae. The record is from RNAcentral.